Molecule: ribosomal RNA, 488 nt
Filed under: uncultured bacterium
Lineage: Bacteria
Description: partial 16S ribosomal RNA
Rfam family: Bacterial small subunit ribosomal RNA
Source: RNAcentral
AUUGAACGCUGGCGGCAGGCCUAACACAUGCCAGUCGAACGGUAGCACAGAGAGCUUGCUCUCGGGUGACGAGUGGCGGAAGGGUGAGUAAUGUCUGGGAAACUGCCUGAUGGAGGGGGAUAACUACUGGAAACGGUAGCUAAUACCGCAUAACGUCGCAAGACCAAAGAGGGGGACCUUCGGGCCUCUUGCCAUCCGAUGUGCCCAGAUGGGAUUAGCUAGUAGGUGGGGUAACGGCUCACCUAGGCGACGAUCCCUAGCUGGUCUGAGAGGAUGACCAGCCACACUGGAACUGAGACACGGUCCAGACUCCUACGGGAGGCAGCAGUGGGGAAUAUUGCACAAUGGGCGCAAGCCUGAUGCAGCCAUGCCGCGUGUAUGAAGAAGGCCUUCGGGUUGUAAAGUACUUUCAGCGGGGAGGAAGGUGCUGAGGUUAAUAACCUCAGCAAUUGACGUUACCCGCAGAAGAAGCACCGGCUAACUCCGUG